Molecule: ribosomal RNA, 450 nt
Filed under: uncultured bacterium
Lineage: Bacteria
Description: partial 16S ribosomal RNA
Rfam family: Bacterial small subunit ribosomal RNA
Source: RNAcentral
GUGGGGAAUUUUGGACAAUGGGCGCAAGCCUGAUCCAGCAAUGCCGCGUGCAGGAAGAAGGCCUUCGGGUUGUAAACUGCUUUUGUACGGAACGAAACGGUCCGGGUUAAUACCCUGGGCUAAUGACGGUACCGUAAGAAUAAGCACCGGCUAACUACGUGCCAGCAGCCGCGGUACUACGUAGGGUGCAAGCGUUAAUCGGAAUUACUGGGCGUAAAGCGUGCGCAGGCGGUUUUGUAAGACAGGCGUGAAAUCCCCGGGCUCAACCUGGGAAUUGCGCUUGUGACUGCAAGGCUGGAGUGCGGCAGAGGGGGAUGGAAUUCCGCGUGUAGCAGUGAAAUGCGUAGAUAUGCGGAGGAACACCGAUGGCGAAGGCAAUCCCCUGGGCCUGCACUGACGCUCAUGCACGAAAGCGUGGGGAGCAAACAGGAUUAGAUACCCUGGUAGUCC